UACAGAGGUGGCAAGCGUUGUUCGGAAUUACUGGGCGUAAAGGGCGCGUAGGCGGCUUUGUAAGUCGGAUGUGAAAUCCCUCGGCUUAACCAAGGAAGUGCAUCCGAAACUGCAAGGCUUGAGGGCCGGAGAGGAGAUCGGAAUUCACGGUGUAGCAGUGAAAUGCGUAGAGAUCGUGAGGAAGACCCGUGGCGAAGGCGGAUCUCUGGACGGCUAACUGACGCUGAGGCGCGAAGGCCAGGGGAGCAAACGGG
RNAcentral lists this ribosomal RNA (254 nucleotides) under uncultured bacterium. Its description in RNAcentral is "partial 16S ribosomal RNA". It matches the Rfam family "Bacterial small subunit ribosomal RNA", at positions 524 to 776 of the family's 1533-position model. The record is from RNAcentral.